This is a long non-coding RNA of Prinia subflava (tawny-flanked prinia), 395 nucleotides long. RefSeq lists it as uncharacterized. Lineage: Eukaryota; Metazoa; Chordata; Aves; Passeriformes; Cisticolidae. The record is from RefSeq and is a predicted model, not a curated record. The transcript is spliced from 3 exons.
AGGGGCCGGGGGAGCGGGCGGGCUCCGCGCGCGCCGCCUGAGGGGAGGCGGCGGCGCCGCGCGCGGGCAACGGCGGUGCGGGAGAGCCGCGGGCGGUGCGGGAGGCGAGGAGCGGACGGGAGACGAGCAGACGCCUCGCUCUUCCUCUCGGUUGCACAGAGAGCAGAACUAACCUAGUGCUGCAGAGCUGAUCCAAAGAACGUUCUUGUUUGUGGAAAAGCUCCCAGGAAGUUCACUACAGCCUGGACCUGCUCUUUAGACCUGCCUGCUGCAAACCAGCUCGUGCUUACGUUUGUAGUGUUUUGAUGCACCCUCCAUCAUCGUGCUCCUGACAGUGGAUUUGCAGAGAGGCUCAAACUCCAAUAUUGAACUUGUGCACAUUUACUGUGAGGUGA